Molecule: ribosomal RNA, 259 nt
Filed under: uncultured bacterium
Lineage: Bacteria
Description: partial 16S ribosomal RNA
Rfam family: Bacterial small subunit ribosomal RNA
Source: RNAcentral
UGGCGGACGGGUGAGUAACGCGUGGGGGAACCUGCCCUGCACCGGGGGAUAACACCUGGAAACAGGUGCUAAUACCGCAUAAGCGCACGAGGCCGCAUGGCCAGGUGUGAAAAACUAAGGUGGUGCAGGAUGGACCCGCGUCUGAUUAGCUUGUUGGUAGGGCAACGGCCUACCAAGGCGACGAUCAGUAGCCGGCCUGAGAGGGUGAACGGCCACAUUGGGACUGAGACACGGCCCAAACUCCUACGGGAGGCAGCAG